CCCAGUUGCAACGGAAAGGCAAUGUAUUCCAUUGAGCCCGUUUCAGCCAUAUGUGGAAUCUGUUUGACGGAUAAUUACGAACAUUUCCGUGGUCGUAACGUUAACGGGGAAAAAUUACAGGCACAAGCAAGAGUAUGAAAGAGUCGCAGGAGUAAAAUGAACGCAAUCAAUCAAGCGAGAUUUAAGUGACAAGUGGAUUCGGCACCCCUCAAACACAGGCAAUAGAUGUGUUUGUGCCUAGGCUAGCCUAAAUCUUGGACUAUGCAGCGGGUGUGAAAUGAAUGUCUGACUUUGAACAAGGAAAACAGAAAGGAGAACGCCGCACACUGCUGCUCGGAGAGGUUGCCCCUGAGGAGUGGAGCCCCAGUCUGAGGCAGGAGGACCCAGAGUCCACACACAUUAAAAAGGAACAGGAGGAAGAGGAACUCGGGACCAGUCAGGAGGAAGAGCAGCUUCAAGGACUGGGGGAGGCUGAUAUCAUAGAGUUUUUAUAUUCUCUCCUGCCUGUGUGGAAAAUGUAUUGUGAUCAGGAGAACCCACCUCAGCCCUCACAUCUUCACCAAACCCAAACUGUGGAGGAUAGAGAGAGGGACUCUCUACCCACCAACACAACUGAAGAAAACAGACCCUGAUGGAGAGGAUUACAGAGUAUCAGAACCAAUCAGACUCUCAACCCCUCUCUGCAGUAAAUCCAGACUGUUCUGCAGCUCAGUGAAAACAGGGAAAGUGAUGAGGUGGAGAGUAGAGGACCACUGUCAGGGUCUAAGACACUCAAAUCAAAGAGAAACUGGACAAUGAAAGAAAGCUGUGCUGGAGGCAGGAUGGCCUCAACAAUAUAGAUCACCUGCAAAUUCACAGUAAAGAAACAUUUUAUUCUCAUAAAAACAUGAGUCCCACAGGGGAAAAAUCAUAGAUGUCAAGAAUGUGGAAAACAAUUGACUCAAAGACGAACCCUGAGGCCACACAUGAGAAUUCACACAGGGGAGAAGUCAUGUCAGUGCAAAGAAUGUAGGAAAUGCUUCACACGUAUGGGAUGCCUGACAGAUCAUAUGAAAACUCAUAUAGGAGCGAAACCAUAUCGAUGUUAAAGAACGUGGAAAAAUGCUUCAGCCAUAGUGAACACCCUCUCCAAACAUAUUGUUUGAUGAUCCACAGACGGGAGAAAUAAUAGCAGUGCCAAAAUAAGAAGAAACACCUCACACAGAAGGUAUACUUGACUACUGUUGAGAAUUCAUACAGGGGAUAAAUCACACAGGUGCCAAGAAUGUAGCAAAUGCUUCAACCCUAGUGACACCCCGACUAGGCAUAUGAAAAUAAAAACUAGUGAAGACUAUCGUGAAGGAGGGGAUACACCUGCGGGAUCCACAACAGAGUCCAAGGCCUUCCUCCACCCUGUCCUCCGUCACCCAGAAACCGAUAAGUGGUCGAGAUGUCGAUUCGUUAGUAGGCGAAUGGAAGAGGCUCCUCCCCUCCUCAAUAGCCACCUUUCAUGGAGGAUAGUCAUGUGAAACCUGCCAGAGUCCUUCGGAAGGGUUUUGAAAUCUGCCGCACCGCCUUUGAAUCUGCUUUUUUGUCAGAGGAGAAAAGCAUGCGUUUAAAAACAAUAUGCUACUUCCCUUCUCGCCGCCUCUCCUCGAUUGACCUUUUUCAAAAGGAGGCGAGACGACAGAGCGGAUGCAGGAGGCGAGCAAAUCCAAUUGAGAGAAUGCCCAAGUCACAGGAAGGGGGAGGGCAGGUUGGGGCGGUGUGCAUCAAUCUAUGGAACUUCUUUGAUUAACGGUUUCAGAGAAAUAUGCUUCAAAGUAGAGUAAUUGCCCUUUUGGACCUUUUGAUAGCUGGAUUUACAGUUGGACCUUAGCUGGAUUUUGUUCAUCAUGAUACAAGUAACUGCACAUAAAAUCUAUGACUGAAUGUUUUAAGACAAACCUAACUUUUUGUUAGCUUGUUCAAAGAGAUAUUUAUAUAGUUUUGUUCAUAUUGCAGUUCUGUUGAAUUUUCUAUUUUGUAAUUAUUACAAAACUAUUAUUUAUGGCUAACAGUUAUUACAUUUAGAACAUCUUUACAGCCACAGUUCCGUCUUGUGUACACGUUUUGAACAUCUACAGUGUUGAAAAAGUUGUACCAAAUUGAGAAAACAAACAUAUGUGUAAGGUGGAAGCAAUAUUGGGGGAACGUGCCCAUACACUACCCUGAUUAAAGCAGCAAAAUGAUCACACAUUCCAGGAGGUUUACCAUAUUUUUCUUUAUUUCAACAGAAAUGGAGUCAGAGCCUUGCAGCAUACCAGACAAAGCUUAAAUAAAACAGUUCACAGAAAGAUGAGUACAAAACUAAAACUGCUUAGAAAAUACUUACCUAGGCCAUUCCUGGUUUGAGUGAUAAAAUCAAUCAUUACACGUAGGGAGAGGUGGGCAUAACUAAGGGUGAAAGAAAUACAGGGCCUUUCAAAUGGGUAGUACUGACAACAAACUCCUGUCUGUCCAGUUUAUCCAUACGGUUUGGUUUUAACCAGCAUAGUGUGACAUCGAACAAGAGGACAAAGCAAUUGAGAGUAUUUUUUUGUUUUCUUACAUUGAAACAUGACAAAAUCCUUAAAGUUGGCAUUUGGUGGUGGUGAGGGAAGGGAGUGGUUAUGAUCUUUCUCUCUGAAAUGUAAUAAAAC
Molecule: non-coding RNA, 2660 nt
Organism: Salmo salar (Atlantic salmon)
Lineage: Eukaryota; Metazoa; Chordata; Actinopteri; Salmoniformes; Salmonidae
Source: RefSeq, a predicted model, not a curated record